Molecule: long non-coding RNA, 5685 nt
Filed under: Canis lupus familiaris (dog)
Lineage: Eukaryota; Metazoa; Chordata; Mammalia; Carnivora; Canidae
Description: lncRNA (ENSCAFG00000055746.1)
Source: RNAcentral
UUUUUUUUCUUGAGAUUUUAUCUAUUUAUUUGAGAGAGAGAGAGCAUAUGGGGAGGGAUGGGCAAAAGGAGAGGGAGAAGCAAAAUCCAUGUUGAGCAGGGAGCCUGAGGAGGGCUCAAACCCAGAAUCCUGAGAUCAUGACCUGAGCUGAAGGCAGACACUUAAAUGACUGAGCCACCUAGGCACCCCAAGGUUUGUAAAUGAAGAUUUUUGAGUAGUGGAUGGAAUGACAAGAAGAGGCUAUGGGGAGUAAAGGGACACUGGGGGUGAGAAGAUUGUCAGACAGGAGCCAUGGUAGUAUCAGAAGUUGGAAGGGAGAGAAAAACAAUUAGGAAAGGCAAGUAGGAUAAGGUGACAACUUGAGAAUCAACAAAGGAGAGGGAAAAGCAGAGAAGAAAGAUAAGGGAGGAGACAAAGAUAAAACCCAGAAGUCAAAUGUAAUUAGAAGACUGUGAUUCCAUGGGGGAAAGAAACAUGUCUAACCCCAAAGUCAUUACACAUAGUGGCCAGGUCUAUCCUCUUCUCUAAAAGGGAAGGCAAGAUUAGGGUCCCUGGGUGGCUCAAUCAGUUAAGUGUCUCGCUCUUGGUUUCGGCUCAGGUCAUCAUCUCAGGGUCAUGAAAUGGAGCUCCAAGUUGGACUCCUGGCUGAGCACAGAAUCUGCUUCAGGUCCCUUCCUUCUCCCUCUGCCCCUCCUGCUCAUGCUCUCUCUUUCCUUCUAAAAUAAAUAAACCAAUCUUUAAAAAAUUUUAAAUAAAAUAAAAGGGAUCCUAGAGUUUCCAAAUGCUCAGGCACCUUCAUGUGAUGUUCCACAUCUGGAGAGGCAUAUUCAGAGACCUUUAUGAUCACCAUCCUAUUAUCUGAGAAGCAAUUAAGUAGAAGUUUAAAAGUAGCUUUUCUGCAUAAGGAGAUGAGUGUUAUCCCAUCUAAUCUAGAACCAGGGGAGACUUCACCCCUCAGCUAAAAUUUCUUAUUCUUUUUUUUAAUUUCUUAUUCUUUAAAGAGAAGAUAUUUCUGAAGUUUAGUGUAAUCAGUCCUCCGUAAAAUUGAUAAUUUGGCUAGAUAGUCUUUGAGAUAUCAAAGAGAAGGUGACUUCAACAAUACAGCAAUCCAAAAUGUGUUAGUUCACAGGCAUGGCUCAAGGAAGUACUCAGACAUGAUUUUCAUGAUUAUUUCAAAAACACAAAAAUAAGGCAAACUUCCCACUUAUACCUCAAACUGAAAAAGAAGUCACUAUCUUAAUGCAGGUCAAAUAAAUUUUCUUGAAACAGAUAAAGAAAAAAAAAAACAGAUAAAGAGGUGUGAUGAGGUUAAAAGAUCCCUCCAAAAAAAUCUUCUGUAUUCCUUUCAAGUCCCCUGAACAACAAUGAAAUAUGCAGAAGAAGGAAAGAUACCAGCUGCUCUCUACACGAGUUUGAGAGUGUGAAUGAAAAGCUCUGUAGUCAUCAUCUCCAUGGGGGGGAAAACCCUCUGAUUUUAGUAAUGUCUUGCCAUGCACACAAGUUAUUUUUUGAAAAGGUUUCUAAGCUUGUCAAAAUAUUCCUAGGUGUGAGUUUAGUGUUUUUUGAAAAACAGAAGAGGCAGGAAGCAAAAGGCAAACCCUUACAACCGUUUGGCCUUUCUUGUUCACAUUUGAAAUAACUGUCAAAUAAGGAAGAGAGAAAAUUCCUUAUCUGUAGGGAUUGUGCUCACAUAUUUUUGCUAAUGAUGAUGUUAUCAUUUAUAGGGUCUGUUAUUCCCCCUCUCUGAUUAUUUGAUUUCUUCCCAUUUAUGGAAGCUCAAAAGCAAACAACCUUCUUACUAAGCCAACUUCCUUGUUUGUUGUCAACUAACUUUCUGUGAAACUAAAAGUAGGUUUCUGUUUUGUUUCUUGUUUUACUCAUUUGGUAUUUAAGUUAUUAAUAUAUUAUUUGGCACUCAGAUUAUAUUUUCCCUACAAGUUUACUGAUACCUUACACCUACUUCAUUGGCUCCCUCUCCCAUGGCUUUGCAUAUGGCACUGUUCAAUAAGAUUGCACUGGCUGAUUCUCAUGAAGCAAAACAAGUGGAAGAUAAGCUGGGUUAUAAAACAUGGCUGAAUGCCUCUAUCCUUUCCUGCCAUCAACACCACAUCCCCCCCAAAUCCAAAUAGAUACUCAAACCAUGAAACCAUAUUUUUUGUUGAUUUCUUUCAUUGUGUUUAUGGUUGCUGUCAUAUCAUGACCAGGAAAAAAAAUUAGCUAUGCAGAAUGUCCUUACUUUAUAAGUUUUGCUGUCCCUACAUGUCUGGGACAGUUAAUAAUGCAUAGGUUAAAAGAGAUAUAUUUUAAACAGCUGCUUAAUGAUUCUACCUGCCUUAUAUCCAACCUUUACUGAGAAAACACAUUUUUAACAAGAUGUACAAAAAAAGGGCUCAUAUGACAAAGAGAAAUCAAGGAAUAUGAAAGGCAAUAUCAUACAAAAUAUUGUUUUCAUGCAAAUGAUCCUGUUUCUUACACAAACUUCAAGUAUUUUCUAAGUUAACCCUUCCCUUCCACAGGCACUACAUCUUAGUAACUACUAAGAGAAUUUUUGCUUAAGCACCAAGUAACAAUAAAAAUCUAAGAGAUUUGCUCUUAGGUAAAGAGUAUAAUUAUUUACAGUACAAUAAAAUAUGCAAGAUUCUAUACAUACACAUGGAUAUAUUGAAAUUUCAGAGAAGAGAGAAAAAGGAUCUUAAGUUCAACUCUUCACUCAUCAUCAUUCUUCAUCUUGAUGGGAUUUGUAAUGAUGUUGCUAACUAGGAGAGGCUGAGGCAGGGCAAAGUCAAUUACCACCUUUACCAGGAGUAAGUAAAGGUUUCCUUUUUCACAUGAGCCUUCAAGUCACCUUACUUUAUGCCAAUCUUCAGGGCGAAGAGUUAAGAUGGUAAACAGACUGAGGGAAGGUCAAGCAAUUUUUCUUACUAAGUGGAAGCUGAGACAAAUGAAAGUUCAGAUGGUAAAAGUGAUUUAUUUGAAAUAUUGCAGCAGAUGUUGGCAAGUUUCAUAAGGAUCUAUCCAGCCUCUUCCCUCUGACCUAUUAGAUACCAUUUGCCUCUGUAUAACACAGGAAAACUUUGUUUUCAAAGGAACUUACCAUUUCAUUUCAAGUGUAUUUAGUCUACAGCAAUUUCCAAUUAUUCUGAGAUUGCUUCAACUCACUUGAACACUGGUGCUGCUUUAAUCAGAGAAUGGUUAGCUAUUAUUUCGCAAACACACAUGAUACCCAGCACCCCACACUCUUCCCAAGUGUAACUGAAAGCAUUAUCUUAUUUUCUCUCUAGAGGACUCUUCCAGGAAAGUUCUCUCUCUCUCUCUCCACCCCCCUCUCUCUAUAUAUAUGAGAAAUAUAUAUAUAUUUAAGAUGGCAUGGUUUGUCUGAUAUAUCCUGUUCAAGGAGUUAUGCACAGGUUUAUUUAAAAGAAUGUGAUAAAGAUAUUAACAUCAGUUUUCACUCGGUUGAAUGGGACUAUAUUCAGUUAGACCUCCCAUGAAGAUAGGUGUAGCUAUGAGUUUUCUCUCUAACUCAUGUACCUACUGUUCUUCUCCCUAAUCUCUACCAGGAAAUCUUCAUUUUUUAAGUUUCUAUUUAAAUGUCAACACCAUUGUGAAGCCUUCUCUACCUGUAUCUGGCACAACUGGUUCUGUGUUCCCACUCCAUUCAUACAGAUGUAAGACUUGCCAAGCUGUUGUUAUAAAUGUGUACUUCUCCCUCCAGAAUACUAAUUUUUUUUCAGAAAAGGUGUGUGAACUAUUCCUCAUCUGAAUUCUCAUUUACAAUUUAUAAAUUAAGAUCUAUGUGUUUUCCCAGAUCACAUUCAAAAUUUCAUGAGGCUUUACAUUCAUAGAAAUAGACCUUUACUUAUGGCUCAUUAAAUAACUGUUCAUCUCUAUGGAGAACACCUAAUACUUUAUAGAGUUACAGAUAGAGUAUUAGACUUUUCAUCCAGGAGUCCAAACUUAUUUCAGUAUUUUUCAUUUUAAAGUUAAAAUUUAACUAAUUUUAUUAGGAAAACAAUAAAAAGAGGUAUGAAUAUAAAUUACCUCCACAAACCUUGAAAGUUGAGGAAAAGUCUUCAUUUUAUACAUACACCUUUCAGUAAAUGCUAACACAACUCAAGAAUGUGUGAUGAUUCUGCAGUGCCCAUCCCAUCAAAUGCAAAGUGGUCUAUGCUUCUUAUUAAUACUUGCAUCUCUGAAGCAUAUGCCCUCAAUUUAAAAUGAGAGAAAUGAUCCAAGGGCAGAUGUUUCUCUGUGUUAAUUUUUUAACUUUGCCAGGCAUAUAGUUCCUAGCACAGACAAAAGAAAGGUUAAGCUCCACUUCUCAAGUGAUGACCAAGAAAGUAUAAGAUCACAAGUUACAGAGACGAAUGAUGAUGCCCUGGUGGAGAGGACAAAGGACUGGGAAUGGGAAAAUUUUGGUUUCCUUCCUACCUCUACUCUUGACCAGAUGUGGAAAUGAGAAAAUCACUUUGCCUCAGAAUGCUGUUUCUUAUUCUGUGUAAUAAAGGAGAUGGCUAAGUGAUCUGUAGGAUUUGAUACAAUCUAAGAGAUUGUAAUUUCAGUUGGAUUUUCUCUAGAUCUUUUCUUUGCAGCUCAAAAUUCUGCAUAUCCCAUAUUCUACCUCCUAUCACCCUAACACAAACUCCCUUCCCCCAAUACCAGGCUGCCAGUGUAAGAACCACAAGAAAUGUCUUUAAAGAAAAAAAAAAAAAGAGAGAGAGAAAAUCAUCAUGGAAGAAUUUAGAGACUCUGCAACUCUUAUCAUCUCUCCUUAGUGAUCUUAAUUAUGCAUCAAUCAACCCCAGCUCAAAUGAGAGAUUAGAAAAUGGGACUUUUUUUGCUGACCUCAAAGGACAAGAUUAAGAGUCAAGAUCAUCAGAAUCAUUACAGUUGAACAGGUAGUUCUAUCCAAUUAGAGGGAAACCUCAAAAUUUCUAAUCAUUUUCACACAUCAUGUUCAGAACUUUCUAGAAAAAAAAACCCUACAAUAUAAUUUCUAUCCAGAAAAUUGUCUUAUUUAUUUAAAUAACCUUGCAUUCCUAUUAUUUCUCUCCCUUUCUCUCACUGCUUCCCUUCCUCUGAUUGUCCUCACUGUUCCCUCUUUUUUUCUGUGUUCUGGGUUAGAUUGCUCUGGCACAUGAAACCCAUUCUAUAAACCCAUGCCAUUACAUUACCAGGUAGAAGCUGGAAAUGAAUAUUUUUGAUUUACAUCUAGUAGCUGAAUUUCAUUUUCCCCUUGAAAGAAGACCAUUUUCCUAUGAAUAGUAAAGAUAUGUUACUUGAAUUUCUUCUCUGAAAUAUAAAGGGUUAAAAAUAAAAUGAGUAUUUUCAAAUUUCUCUAUUUCAUUAUGAGAUCAUCAGAAAACUAUGAUAUACUUCAAAUAGCCUUACUCGUAAUUUAUCAACACCAGGUCAUUCAUUUUACACUUUAUUUUCAUCUUAAUUGACAUUGAUACCUCUAAAAGUUAGUAUUUAGUAUUUCACUAUUGAAAACAACAAAUUUCAUCAAACAACUUCUUAAUAGUAAGUGAUCAUAAAUUAUAAGUGCCAUACAAAUGUCUUGAAACACUUGAACACUCCCCACAGAAACCAAUGCAACUCCUAAUUUUUAUGGUUUAACCAUUUAUUUCAACACAUACAACUCAAAUGUGUUUAGGAUUCCACUCCAAAAAAAAAAAAAAAAAA